RNAcentral lists this ribosomal RNA (383 nucleotides) under uncultured bacterium. RNAcentral describes it as "bacterial SSU rRNA". It matches the Rfam family "Bacterial small subunit ribosomal RNA", at positions 30 to 407 of the family's 1533-position model. The record is from RNAcentral.
AUUGAACGCUGGCGGCAUGCUUUACACAUGCAAGUCGAACGGUAACAGGGAAAAGCUUGCUUUCUGCUGACGAGUGGCGAACGGGUGAGUAAUACAUCGGAACGUGCCCUGUAGUGGGGGAUAACUACUCGAAAGAGUGGCUAAUACCGCAUACAACCUGAGGGUAAAAGUGGGGGACCGCAAGGCCUCACGCUAUAGGGAGCGGCCGAUGGAAGAUUAGGUAGUUGGUAGGGUAAAGGCCUACCAAGCCGACGAUCUUUAGCGGGUCUGAGAGGACGAUCCGCCACACUGGGACUGAGACACGGCCCAGACUCCUACGGGAGGCAGCAGUGGGGAAUUUUGGACAAUGGGGGCAACCCUGAUCCAGCAAUGCCGCGUGAGUG